UGCUACAUUAUUGGGAAAGAUGCUGAUACC
This 30-nucleotide non-coding RNA is filed under the name Rattus norvegicus (Norway rat). The record is from RNAcentral. Lineage: Eukaryota; Metazoa; Chordata; Mammalia; Rodentia; Muridae.